RNAcentral lists this long non-coding RNA (1147 nucleotides) under Equus caballus (horse). RNAcentral describes it as "lncRNA (ENSECAG00000051720.1)". Lineage: Eukaryota; Metazoa; Chordata; Mammalia; Perissodactyla; Equidae. The record is from RNAcentral.
UAAUAUGCUUUGAACAUCAGGAGACCUAAGAGAUGUCCACAGUCCUGCUCAGUCUUCUCAUAAAUUUCUCAUCUUGAAGCGUCUUUCAAAGAUCCUAGCUGUGUAAGUGUAGAUUCUGCAAUCAGAAGAUGCCAGGAUUAUUUGGGUCUCAAAUUCAAGGCAAAUUUACAUUAAGUGGCAGAACCUGCAACUCAAGCUUCAGCGAACGUGAUGGGAAUAAGGAGAGAUUGUUAACAUGUUGGAUUCAUUUGAAGCACUUUUCACUUUAUAAUUUUUCACAUUUUUCUUGCUUAUUGUCUGUCACACUCACGUUGGACUAUGAGCUCUACUGGUGACAGAAAAUACAACUAUUUUUCUUAGUAAUUUAUACGCAGAAAUUAAGUCUAGCACAGAGUUGACACUUAAAAAAAUAUUACUGAAAUGACUGACUGAAGGAUGCGGGGAAAAGUGAAUGCAGAGAAAAAUGAGUGCACCUGGCGAGUAACAGGGAGAGGAAGAAAAGCUGGUGGAAUCCAUCAGCAAAGGUGCAGGUCCCCAUUCUGUGACAAGUCCACCUGAGUAACAAGAGGAAGACUGGCCCUGAGCUAACGUCCAUGCCCAUCUUCCUCUACUUUAUAUGUGGGAUGCCUACCACAGCAUGGCUUGCCAGGCAGUGCCAUGUCCGCACCAGGGAUCCCAACUGGCAAACCCCGGCCGCCGAAGCGGAACGUGCGCACUUAACUGCUGCACCACCCACCAGCCCCUGAAGAAACCUUUCAACGGAAGGAGAUGGGAGAACAGCAAAGAGAUCAGAAAAGUAUUGGAAGCUCCUUGAAAGCAGAGCCCAUGUAUUACAACUUUGUAUCCUAUCUCAAUUCUUAGCACAUGAAAGAUGGCUGCAAAUUGGAAUUCCUAUUUUCUGAAAUUGCCUCCUGACUUUGCCCUAGAACUAUCCUAUUUUGUAAUGGGCCUGCAAUCUGCCUCUGAAUGGAAGUCAUGGAAAGGAUCAAAAAUGACUGACCAGCGUUGGUGGAGUUUGGGUUUUUUUUAAAUAAUAGUAGGUAUUAAUGUAGCACACUGUAUUUGUAGUGCUUUGAAAUAAAUAUCACAAUAUUAUAUGUAAAUAUACAUAUAACCAAACACAUAUAAGCUAACAAUUCAUUAAAAU